UAAUUCCGUGCCAGCAGCCGCGGUAAUACGGAAGGUGCAAGCGUUAAUCGGAAUUACUGGGCGUAAAGCGCGCGUAGGUGGUUUGUUAAGUUGGAUGUGAAAGCCCUGGGCUCAACCUAGGAACUGCAUCCAAAACUAACUCACUAGAGUACGAUAGAGGGAGGUAGAAUUCAUAGUGUAGCGGUGGAAUGCGUAGAUAUUAUGAAGAAUACCAGUGGCGAAGGCGGCCUCCUGGAUCUGUACUGACACUAAGGUGCGAAAGCGUGGGUAGCGAACAGGAUUAGAUACCCUGGUAGUCCACGCCGUAAACGAUGACAACUAGCUGUUGGGAGACAAUGUCUUUCAGUGGCGCAGCUAACGUUUUAAGUUGUCCGCCUGGGGAGUACGGCCGCAAGGCUAAAACUCAAAUGAAUUGACGGGGACCCGCACAAGCGGUGGAGCAUGUGGUUUAAUUCGAUGCAACGCGAAAAACCUUACCUACUCUUGACAUACUUGGAAGCUCUUGUAAUGAGAGUGUGCCUUUUGGAGCCAAGAUACAGGUGCUGCAUGGCUGUCGUCAGCUCGUGUCGUGAGAUGUUCCGUUAAGUCGGAUAACGAGCGCAACCCUUACCCUUAUUUGCCAGCGAUUCGGUCGGGAACUAUAAGGGGACUGCCGGUGAUAAACCGGAGGAAGGUGAGGACGACGUCAAGUCAUCAUGGCCCUUACGAGUAGGGCUACACACGUGCUACAAUGGGAAAUACAGACGGACGCUAAGCCGCGAGGUGGUGCUAAUCCUAGAAAGUUUCUCGUAGUCCGGGAUUGGAGUCUGCAACUCGACUCCAUGAAGUCGGAAUCGCUAGUAAUCGCGAAUCAGCAUGUCGCGGUGAAUACGUUCUCGGGUCUUGUACACACCGCCCGUCACACCAUGGAAGUGGAUUGCACCAGAAGUAGAUAGUCUAACCUUCG
RNAcentral lists this ribosomal RNA (946 nucleotides) under marine metagenome. RNAcentral describes it as "bacterial SSU rRNA". It matches the Rfam family "Bacterial small subunit ribosomal RNA", at positions 498 to 1444 of the family's 1533-position model. The record is from RNAcentral.